UACUGAGGAUGCAAGCGUUAUCCGGAUUCAUUGGGUUUAAAGGGUGCGUAGGCGGCUUUUUAAGUCAGUGGUGAAAUCCUGCCGCUUAACGGUAGAAUUGCCAUUGAUACUGAAAAGCUUGAGUACGGUUGAGGUAAGCGGAAUGUGUAGUGUAGCGGUGAAAUGCUUAGAUAUUACACAGAACACCAAUUGCGAAGGCUGCUUACUAAACCGGCAACUGACGCUGAUGCACGAAAGCGUGGGGAGCGAACAGG
This 254-nucleotide ribosomal RNA is filed under the name uncultured bacterium. RNAcentral describes it as "partial 16S ribosomal RNA". It matches the Rfam family "Bacterial small subunit ribosomal RNA", at positions 524 to 776 of the family's 1533-position model. The record is from RNAcentral.